This 24-nucleotide microRNA is filed under the name Solanum tuberosum (potato). Its description in RNAcentral is "stu-miR8011a-3p". Lineage: Eukaryota; Viridiplantae; Streptophyta; Magnoliopsida; Solanales; Solanaceae. The record is from miRBase by way of RNAcentral.
AAUAAAAAGAAGCCUCACACAACU